ACGAGACCGACACCGAGAACAGAUUUCUAGGAGCGAGGACGGGGGACCCACCCUCAUCCCCUGAGACCGGGCAUCACACCGAUGUCCUUGGGGUUAAGUCCCAGGGCUCACAAGGCCCCGGGACCGAGCAACCUCUCGCUCGAACCCGACAGCUGACUUCGUAGGCGCGUGGAGAGAGGAAUU
This 183-nucleotide small RNA is filed under the name Gordonia bronchialis. RNAcentral describes it as "c-di-AMP sequence". It matches the Rfam family "c-di-AMP riboswitch aptamer (ydaO/yuaA leader)". From Rfam's summary of the family: This family represents a conserved RNA structure found upstream of the ydaO and yuaA genes in Bacillus subtilis and related genes in other bacteria. The ydaO/yuaA element is thought to act as a genetic "off" switch for the ydaO and yuaA genes in its native state. RNAcentral also lists the same sequence under 1 other name. The record is from RNAcentral. Lineage: Bacteria; Bacillati; Actinomycetota; Actinomycetes; Mycobacteriales; Gordoniaceae.